RNAcentral lists this ribosomal RNA (253 nucleotides) under uncultured bacterium. RNAcentral's name for it is "partial 16S ribosomal RNA". It matches the Rfam family "Bacterial small subunit ribosomal RNA", at positions 524 to 776 of the family's 1533-position model. The record is from RNAcentral.
UACGAAGGGGGCUAGCGUUGUUCGGAAUUACUGGGCGUAAAGCGUGCGUAGACGGUUAUGUAAGUCGGGUGUGAAAGCCCCGGGCUCAACCUGGGAAUGCCAUUCGAGACUGCAUAGCUAGGGUGCGGAAGAGGGAAGCGGAAUUUCCGGUGUAGCGGUGAAAUGCGUAGAUAUCGGAAGGAACACCAGUGGCGAAAGCGGCUUCCUGGUCCAGCACCGACGUUCAGGCACGAAAGCGUGGGGAGCAAACAGG